This 1387-nucleotide long non-coding RNA is filed under the name Anser brachyrhynchus (Pink-footed goose). RNAcentral describes it as "lncRNA (ENSABRG00000016058.1)". Lineage: Eukaryota; Metazoa; Chordata; Aves; Anseriformes; Anatidae. The record is from RNAcentral.
GCGCCGCCCGCGCCGCCCGCCGGCCAAUCGGCGCGCGGGGGAGGGGCCGCGCAGCCGCGCCGCGCUCCUCUCCCCCCUCCCCUCCCCGCGCCGUAACCGUGGCGACGGGGGAGGGGGAGCGGAAGUGACGCGAGGGGGCGGGGCUUCGGGAGGAAGCCGGAAGUGACGCUGCCGGUGCGGGCCCAGGUGCGGGGCCGGGAGCUGCGGGAGCGGGGGGGGGGCCCCUCGGGGCUUGGCCACGCCCCCUCCAGACCUGGCCACGCCCCCAAGGGACUGGCCACGCCCCCUCUCUGCUGUAGGCCGCCGGCGGAGCGCUGUGAUUGGCCCGCGGCCGAGAUGGAAGGGGGAGAAGCAGCCAAUGGGAGCAGAGCGGCCGCGGAGGAGGCGGCCAAUGGGCAGCGAGCGCCCCCAGGUUGGUCCAAUGGGGAGGGAGGGGGCGCGGAGCCGGCCAAUGAGGGGCGCCGGGUGGAGGAGGAGGCGGCCAAUGGGAUCGCAGCACCGCGGGGCGCGGCCAAUGAGGGAGCAGGGAGCUGCCGGCUGGCCAAUGAGCAGCUAGAAGGGCGGGAAGCAAACAAGGACUCAGCCAAUGAGGACGCAGGGAGCCGGGAGCCGACCAAUGAAGGCGCAGGGCCACGGGGACCGACCAAUGAGAACACAGCGCGCCCGGAGGCGUCCAACGGGGCAGCCGCGUCGCUUCCCGGGCCGUCCAAUCAGGCGGCAGCCCCGGCGCCGUCAGCCAAUGAGGCGUGGGACUGGCGCAGCGAGGAGGCGUGGCUCCGCGAGCCCUGCGGGGACGAGGACGGGGACCCCUGGGCCCUGUGGGACGCGCCGGGGGCGGCAGCCAAUGAGCACGCGGCUGGCUGGGAGCCAGCCAAUGGCAGCGGAGAGCCCGAGGAGGCGGCCAAUGGCGAGGGAGACCCAAAGGGUGGCAACGAGGAGCGGGCCGGGGGCAACCGGGAGCCCGAAAGCCCGAGGGACGUCAACGAGAACCCGGCCGGGGGCCCCGGAAGGCCCAGCGGGGCCACCAGAGACCCCGAGGAGGCGACCGACGUCAACAGGAACCCCAGUGACGUCAUCGGGGACCCCGAAACCCCCCCUGAGGACCCCCAAAACCCAACCGAUGUCAACGAGAACCCAACUGACGUCAUCAAGGACCCCAGAAAGCCAACUGGGGACCCCCAAAACCCAACCGAGGACCUCAAAAAGCCAACCGACGUCAACAGGAACCCCAGUGACGUCAUCGAGGACCCCGAGAAGCCAACUGAGGGCCCCCGAAACCCAACUGAUGUCAACGAGAACCCAAGUGACGUCAUCAAGGACCCCGAAAACCCAACUGGGGACCCCAAAAACCCAACUGACGUCAACGAGAACCCAACCAAAGCCCCCA